This 590-nucleotide ribosomal RNA is filed under the name Polaromonas sp. BvIRHM080. RNAcentral describes it as "bacterial SSU rRNA". It matches the Rfam family "Bacterial small subunit ribosomal RNA", at positions 102 to 688 of the family's 1533-position model. The record is from RNAcentral. RNAcentral also lists the same sequence under 1 other name. Lineage: Bacteria; Pseudomonadati; Pseudomonadota; Betaproteobacteria; Burkholderiales; Comamonadaceae.
ACGGGUGAGUAAUAUAUCGGAACGUGCCCAAUCGUGGGGGAUAACGUAGAGAAAUUUACGCUAAUACCGCAUACGAUCUAAGGAUGAAAGCGGGGGAUCGCAAGACCUCGCGCGAUUGGAGCGGCUGAUAUCAGAUUAGGUUGUUGGUGAGGUAAAAGCUCACCAAGCCGACGAUCUGUAGCUGGUUUGAGAGAACGACCAGCCACACUGGGACUGAGACACGGCCCAAACUCCUACGGGAGGCAGCAGUGGGGAAUUUUGGACAAUGGGCGAAAGCCUGAUCCAGCAAUGCCGCGUGCAGGAAGAAGGCCUUCGGGUUGUAAACUGCUUUUGUACGGAACGAAACGGCUCUUUCUAAUAAAGAGGGCUAAUGACGGUACCGUAAGAAUAAGCACCGGCUAACUACGUGCCAGCAGCCGCGGUAAUACGUAGGGUGCGAGCGUUAAUCGGAAUUACUGGGCGUAAAGCGUGCGCAGGCGGUUAUAUAAGACAGUUGUGAAAUCCCCGGGCUCAACCUGGGAAUUGCAUCUGUGACUGUAUAGCUAGAGUACGGUAGAGGGGGAUGGAAUUCCGCGUGUAGCAGUGAAAUG